This 497-nucleotide ribosomal RNA is filed under the name uncultured bacterium. Its description in RNAcentral is "partial 16S ribosomal RNA". It matches the Rfam family "Bacterial small subunit ribosomal RNA", at positions 28 to 507 of the family's 1533-position model. The record is from RNAcentral.
GAUGAACGCUGGCGGCGUGCCUAAUACAUGCAAGUCGAGCGAACGGACGAGAAGCUUGCUUCUCUGAUGUUAGCGGCGGACGGGUGAGUAACACGUGGAUAACCUACCUAUAAGACUGGGAUAACUUCGAGAAACCGUAGCUAAUACAGGAUAAUAUUUUGAACAGCAUGGUUAAAAAGUGAAAGACGGUCUUGCUGUCACUUAUAGAUGGAUCCGCGCUGCAUUAGCUAGUUGGUAAGGUAACGGCUUACCAAGGCAACGAUGCAUAACCGACCUGAGAGGGUGAUCGGCCACACUGGAACUGAGACACGGUCCAGACUCCUACGGGAGGCAGCAGUAGGGAAUCUUCCGCAAAGGGCGAAAGCCUGACGGAGCAACGCCGCGUGAGUGAUGAAGGUCUUCGGAUCGUAAAACUCUGUUAUUAGGGAAGAACAUAUGUGUAAGUAACUGUGCACAUCUUGACGGUACCUAAUCAGAAAGCCACGGCUAACUACGUG